RNAcentral lists this ribosomal RNA (462 nucleotides) under uncultured bacterium. Its description in RNAcentral is "partial 16S ribosomal RNA". It matches the Rfam family "Bacterial small subunit ribosomal RNA", at positions 28 to 507 of the family's 1533-position model. The record is from RNAcentral.
GACGAACGCUGGCGGCGUGCUUAACACAUGCAAGUCGAGCGGAAAGGCCCUUCGGGGUACUCGAGCGGCAAACGGGUGAGUAACACGUGAGUAACCUGCCCCAGACUUUGGGAUAACCCUCGGAAACGGGGGCUAAUACCGGAUACGACACAGCUUCGCAUGGGGUCUGUGUGGAAAGUUUUUCGGUUUGGGAUGGGCUCGCGGCCUAUCAGCUUGUUGGUGGGGUGAUGGCCUACCAAGGCGACGACGGGUAGCCGGCCUGAGAGGGCGACCGGCCACACUGGGACUGAGACACGGCCCAGACUCCUACGGGAGGCAGCAGUGGGGAAUAUUGCACAAUGGGCGGAAGCCUGAUGCAGCGACGCCGCGUGAGGGAUGACGGCCUUCGGGUUGUAAACCUCUUUCAGCAGGGACGAAGCGUAAGUGACGGUACCUGCAGAAGAAGCGCCGGCCAACUACGUG